UACAGGCAUGUUAAUUUUUCAUACUAGUAUAAAUUUAGAUGAAGGAAAACCGCCCAUCUGCUAUGGUCUGCCUGCUACUUCACAUCUUCCACGUAAAGAAAGGUAAACUGAGGUGCUGCCCUAUUUUAUCUAUUACCUUAGGUGAUCAUAUAUCAUGGCAGGGGACAUUUUAGUAGUAGAGAGACCCCUGCCACCAGUUUCCUCUUGAAGCACUUCCAGAGUCAUCUUCUGCCCCAUCUUUGUUGAACAUUGAGGUCAUACUAGAGCUCUGGCUAUUCUGGGGAUGAUGAAAGAUGUCUUGACCACCAUAAUAGAUUGACGAACUCAGAUGGCAUGGUUGUACUCUUUGUUCCUGAUAAAGGGAACUUGUAUCUCUACUUGGCAUGUUCUGACCUUCACCCUUGUUGCUUUUAGAAGUGUCAUCUGGAGCUCCAGGUUUGGUGUUCCAAGCUUCAUUUGCAGAAUCUUGUUUAUUUCCAAAGACUUCAGAUCGUAGUAAACCUCUCCCCAGCACCUUAGAAGGAGGUGCAAAUAUAGAGCCAAAAAUCCCAGUUGAAGAUGUAGAAUCCUUGGAGGUGGAGCCAAAAAGUUCAGAAGUGAAGGAAGAAGACGAGGCCAACUGCUUUCCCUCCAUUUCUCACCCUUCCUCAAACCUCUAUUUCUCUUGCACAGAAUAUUUGUAAAUACACUGAACUCAAAUAGCAAUACCAACCCGUCAAAGAUAAAAGAGAGGUUGAUAUACGUUGCAAGUUCUGGCCAAGAAAUAAACAGAGCUUAAGAAUGAAAUGAAUAGGAAGAGGGGAAGAAGAAAAUGACGAUGAUUGAGGAAAAAGAAGCCGAAGGAAACAGAAAAAGCGAGAGAGAGACACGUGAAGAAGAAGU
RNAcentral lists this unclassified non-coding RNA (882 nucleotides) under Hevea brasiliensis (rubber tree). Lineage: Eukaryota; Viridiplantae; Streptophyta; Magnoliopsida; Malpighiales; Euphorbiaceae. The record is from RNAcentral.